CGCCGUGAGACGGAGUCUGAAGGAAGCCUAAGACAAAAUACCGAACCGAUGUACAAGAAGUGGCUACAAGGCUGAUUAGACUGGAUGAAGUUGCUUCACAAACUGAAGUCCUACACUACUUGAAGUCGAAGUUAGUAAAGCCAACGGUUGCAUGGUAUGAAAGCUAU
This 167-nucleotide non-coding RNA is filed under the name Lactiplantibacillus plantarum. Lineage: Bacteria; Bacillati; Bacillota; Bacilli; Lactobacillales; Lactobacillaceae. The record is from RNAcentral.